This 1859-nucleotide long non-coding RNA is filed under the name Equus caballus (horse). RNAcentral's name for it is "lncRNA (ENSECAG00000045497.1)". The record is from RNAcentral. Lineage: Eukaryota; Metazoa; Chordata; Mammalia; Perissodactyla; Equidae.
CUCAUGAAUCUCUCUAGGAAUUGGGGAGCAAGCACCGAUUUCUGACUUCCUUGAGCACGCUGGGGUGACUGGUGCAACUGUGGGGCCCAACAAGCUGGCAGAGGUGAGGUGGCUUCUAACAGAGGCACUGGCAAUGACCUAACUCUAGGAAGGGCUCUGGGCAGGUGAGAAACUGCAAUUGUAGCUUCUGAAAGCUUACCACAUACCUGGCACCCAUCAGGCAUCUCUCCAGCAUGGAGGUUCAGAUGUAUGAUGCUCUAACUUCUGGCAGAUGAUGCCUUCACAAAGGGUAAUCUCAGAGCUGCCCUCUGGUAUGAGCUAUGUUGAACAGGGAGACAGCAUAUCCACUGCACUCCUAAGAACUUUCUCCAGUGUGAACUUUCUGGUGCUGAAUGACAUCAUGCCUUUAUAUGGCUUUUCUCUAAUCUGAACGUUCUGGUGCACGAACUUACAGAUGCAGCUGAAAGCACUCCAACACUGGCUACACUGAUAAAGCCUUUUUGUUCUGGUGCAGAACAAGAAAGCUCCUGGUGAAGGCUUUCCCGCAGUUGCUGCACUCCUGAGGCCUCUCCCGUGUGAAUUCUGCAGUGCUGAAUGCAGCAGGAGCUUUGGCUAAUGAAUUUCCCAUAUUUGUCAUCCACGUAACACCUAUCACCAGUGAACCAGUUUCUAGUGUGCAAUAAGAAUGCAGCUUUAGCUAAAGACUUUCACACAUUAAUAGCACACACGAGGCCCUUCUGCACUGUGGAUCCUCUGGUGCUGAACAAGGGGGUCUUUGCAGCUGAAGGCUUUCCCACAUGUGCUACACUUGUGAUUCCUUUGUCUAGUGUGAAAGGCUCCCCACAUGCAGAGCCCCUGUGUGGCUUGCUCCUGGUGUGAGGGGCCUCUUGCUGGAAAAUGCCUUAGCUGGCCGAGAAAUCCUUCCCAGUAUCCCUACAUGUGGAGGGUUUCUCUGACAUGUAGGCUCUGCAGCUCUUCAUAAACAAGGCCCUGCCUUCAUUCCUGCCGAAGAGUUCUCUCCACUCUGCUGCUUUGGGUGUGCUGAACGAGAACUAUUUCCCACAUGCCUCACCUGGGAGCGGUUUCUCCACAAGGGCGUGUCCCCAGAUGCUCAGCCAGGUGCAAACCAUCUUUCAAGAUGGGGCCACACAUCUCUCUGGGGUAGGCCUUCUAGGUGGAAACUCCUAAGAAACUUUUUCUAUAGAAACAUUGUGCCCAGAAGAUGUUUCUCCAUCUUCCACACCACACAAACAACCUGAAAGCAGAGAAAUGUUGGUGAAAUGUAUUUUGGUAGGAAGUGGCAGUCCCAACACAAAUGUGUAACAGACACACUCAGGAAGGAGUCCACGGGAUUGAUGGCAGAGUACGGAAGCUGGGUCAGGGUGAGGAAGGGCCUUGGAGCAGUGCUGGAGCUGUUAAGGUCAGAGAAUUGGGCAGCCUCUCCAGGGACAAACACCCAACAAUGAGGUAAAGUGCAGAGGAGAGAAGCAAGGUGACCAACACGUUCCCCUGCAUCAGAUUUCAGCAGGGUCUUGUCUGCUAGUAACAGUUAAGUGCUGUGCAGAAGGGUGUGCCCCGGCCCAGAAAAAUGUGAAAUACAGUCAAUCCUCACUAUUAGCAUAUUCUGUAUUUGCAAGUUUGCCUAUUCACCAAAACUUAUUUGUAACCCCAAAAUCAAUACUUUCAUACUUUCACAGUCACUUGAGCACAUACACAUGCAGAGAACAGCAAAAAAUUUGAGUUGUCCAAUAAGCAUGUUCCCAGCUGAGGUCGAACAAGGUGAUGCUCUGCCUUCUUGUUUCAGUGCCAUUAGGUAAACAAGUGUCCUGUGUGUGAUAUAUUUACUGCCAUGUUUUUAG